This 512-nucleotide ribosomal RNA is filed under the name uncultured Alphaproteobacteria bacterium. RNAcentral's name for it is "bacterial SSU rRNA". It matches the Rfam family "Bacterial small subunit ribosomal RNA", at positions 337 to 867 of the family's 1533-position model. The record is from RNAcentral. Lineage: Bacteria; Pseudomonadati; Pseudomonadota; Alphaproteobacteria.
UCCUACGGGAGGCAGCAGUGGGGAAUCUUAGACAAUGGGCGCAAGCCUGAUCUAGCCAUGCCGCGUGUGUGAUGAAGGYCUUAGGRUCGUAAAGCACUUUCGCCAGGGAUGAUAAUGACAGUACCUGGUAAAGAAACCCCGGCUAACUCCGUGCCAGCAGCCGCGGUAAUACGGAGGGGGUUAGCGUUGUUCGGAAUUACUGGGCGUAAAGCGUACGUAGGCGGAUCAGAAAGUAGGGGGUGAAAUCCCAGGGCUCAACCCUGGAACUGCCUCCUAAACUCCUGGUCUUGAGUUCGAGAGAGGUGAGUGGAAUUCCAAGUGUAGAGGUGAAAUUCGUAGAUAUUUGGAGGAACACCAGUGGCGAAGGCGGCUCACUGGCUCGAUACUGACGCUGAGGUACGAAAGUGUGGGGAGCAAACAGGAUUAGAUACCCUGGUAGUCCACACCGUAAACGAURAAUGCCAGUCGUCGGGCARUAUACUGUUCGGUGACACACCUAACGGAUUAAGCAU